ACGGGUGAGUAAUACAUCGGAACGUAUCCUGGAGUGGGGGAUAGCCCGGCGAAAGCCGGAUUAAUACCGCAUACGCUCUGAGGAGGAAAGCGGGGGACCUUCGGGCCUCGCGCUCAAGGGGCGGCCGAUGGCGGAUUAGGUAGUUGGUGGGGUAAAGGCCUACCAAGCCGACGAUCCGUAGCUGGUCUGAGAGGACGACCAGCCACACUGGGACUGAGACACGGCCCAGACUCCUACGGGAGGCAGCAGUGGGGAAUUUUGGACAAUGGGGGCAACCCUGAUCCAGCAAUGCCGCGUGUGUGAAGAAGGCCUUCGGGUUGUAAAGCACUUUUGUCCGGAAAGAAAUCAUCGGGGCCAAUACCCCUGGUGGAUGACGGUACCGGAAGAAUAAGCACCGGCUAACUACGUGCCAGCAGCCGCGGUAAUACGUAGGGUGCGAGCGUUAAUCGGAAUUACUGGGCGUAAAGCGUGCGCAGGCGGUGCUGUAAGACCGAUGUGAAAUCCCCGGGCUUAACCUGGGAACUGCAUUGGUGACUGCAGCGCUGGAGUAUGGCAGAGGGGGGUGGAAUUCCACGUGUAGCAGU
RNAcentral lists this ribosomal RNA (584 nucleotides) under uncultured bacterium. Its description in RNAcentral is "bacterial SSU rRNA". It matches the Rfam family "Bacterial small subunit ribosomal RNA", at positions 102 to 682 of the family's 1533-position model. The record is from RNAcentral.